Myodes glareolus (Bank vole) is the source of this 129-nucleotide non-coding RNA. RefSeq annotates it as small Cajal body-specific RNA 3. The record is from RefSeq and is a predicted model, not a curated record. Lineage: Eukaryota; Metazoa; Chordata; Mammalia; Rodentia; Cricetidae.
UCUGGAAGCUGCAGAACCAGCCAUGUAGACCUGAGAAAACACCUUCUGUCUACAGACGACACAAUCCUACAUAGACAUGGACAUCUCUGACUUAGCACAGCUAAGUCCGGUUGCUCCCCUCCAGAUAAC